CUUGGUGAUUAUGCUAGCAAGGGUACACCUCAUCCCAUUCCGAACUGAGAAGUUAAGCUUGCUAAGGCCGAUGGUACUUCCCGCGUUGCGGGCGGAAGAGUAGGUAGUCGCCAAGA
Molecule: ribosomal RNA, 116 nt
Filed under: Candidatus Gracilibacteria bacterium CG17_big_fil_post_rev_8_21_14_2_50_48_13
Lineage: Bacteria; Candidatus Altimarinota
Source: RNAcentral